GACGAACGCUGGCGGCGUGCCUAACACAUGCAAGUCGAACGGACAGGCCCUGCUUUUGUUGGGCGCUCGAGUGGCGCACGGGUGUGUAACACGCGUGUAACCCCCCCCUUUCUUUCGGGUAUCUUUUCGGAACUGCGGCUAAUACCCGAUAUGAUCUCCUUCUUCAUGGUGUGGGUUUGAAAGUUUCGGCGGUUGGGGAUGUACUCGCGGCUUAUCGGCUUGAUGGUGGGGUAGUUGCUUACCAAGGUUUUGACGGGUAGCCGGCCUGUGAGGGUUACCGGCGACAUGGGGACUGAGAGACGGCCCAGACUCGUACGGGAGGCAGCAGUGGGGAAUAUUGCACAAUGGGCGGAAGCCUGAUGCAGCAACGCCGCGUGCGGGAUGACGGCCUUCGGGUUGUGAACAGAUGUCGCCUGUGACGAAGCGUGAGUGACGGUAAUGGGUAAAGAAGCACCGGCUAACUACGUG
This 468-nucleotide ribosomal RNA is filed under the name uncultured bacterium. RNAcentral describes it as "partial 16S ribosomal RNA". It matches the Rfam family "Bacterial small subunit ribosomal RNA", at positions 28 to 507 of the family's 1533-position model. The record is from RNAcentral.